This 471-nucleotide long non-coding RNA is filed under the name Hordeum vulgare. Its description in RNAcentral is "long non-coding RNA (HVUL_LNC005971)". The record is from RNAcentral. Lineage: Eukaryota; Viridiplantae; Streptophyta; Magnoliopsida; Poales; Poaceae.
GCGGCUUCUCUUCUCUUGAUCGGCUUAGGCUGUCGUCGUGGUCGAGGCUCGAGAGCUAUGUACUGUACUAGGGAUCAUUGGAUUCGAAUCGUUUGUGGUUCUGGUGGAAGGCUGGUGAUCUUAUUUUAUACUCGUGGUCAUGGCCGUGGCGAUGAGGAGUUGUAAUUGGGUUGUGCUUGACUUCAGAGAUACCCACACGGGGAGGCAUAGUUUGCUGCAAGUGGAUUAGACCUCAGAUACUACAGCUGAUACUACAGCUGAUCUGACGGUCGAGGGGAGGACUAGAUACCUGCUGUACGAACGUCGUAGUAUCGGAAACGUGCAGCCGACAAAGGAAACACAUGCAGCCAGAGAAAUUCAACUUAAAAAAAAUCAGGAAAAUUUAUCUUUUGGAUUGAACAAUAAUCAAGCUUCCUAACUGUAGAAAAAUUUCAUAUUUUUUGACUUUUAAAAUAAAAUGUUGCGUAGAGG